UACGUAGGGCGCAAGCGUUUAUCCGGAAUUAUUGGGCGUAAAGAGCUCGUAGGCGGUUUGUCGCGUCUGCCGUGAAAGUCCGGGGCUCAACUCCGGAUCUGCGGUGGGUACGGGGCAGACUAGAGUGAUGUAGGGGAGACUGGAAUUCCUGGUGUAGCGGUGAAAUGCGCAGAUAUCAGGAGGAACACCGAUGGCGAAGGCAGGUCUCUGGGCAUUAACUGACGCUGAGGAGCGAAAGCAUGGGGAGCGAACAGG
This 255-nucleotide ribosomal RNA is filed under the name uncultured bacterium. RNAcentral's name for it is "partial 16S ribosomal RNA". It matches the Rfam family "Bacterial small subunit ribosomal RNA", at positions 524 to 776 of the family's 1533-position model. The record is from RNAcentral.